AGAACGAACGCUGGCGGCAGGCUUAACACAUGCAAGUCGAACGCUCGUAGCAAUACGGGAGUGGCAGACGGGUGAGUAACGCGUGGGAACAUACCCUCCGGUUCGGAAUAGCUCAGGGAAACUUGGAUUAAUACCGGAUACGGCUGAGAGGCGAAAGAUUUAUCGCCGGAGGAUUGGCCCGCGUUCGAUUAGCUUGUUGGUGAGGUAACGGCUCACCAAGGCGAUGAUCGAUAGCUGGUCUGAGAGGAUGAUCAGCCACAUUGGGACUGAGACACGGCCCAAACUCCUACGGGAGGCAGCAGUGGGGAAUAUUGGACAAUGGGCGCAAGCCUGAUCCAGCCAUGCCGCGUGAGUGAUGACGGCCUUAGGGUUGUAAAGCUCUUUCGCUCGGGACGAUAAUGACGGUACCGAGAUAAGAAGCCCCGGCUAACUUCGUGCCAGCACGCCGC
RNAcentral lists this ribosomal RNA (449 nucleotides) under uncultured bacterium. RNAcentral describes it as "SSU rRNA". It matches the Rfam family "Bacterial small subunit ribosomal RNA", at positions 26 to 518 of the family's 1533-position model. The record is from RNAcentral.